UAUAGGGUCUUCUCUACAAGUAAACAAAUCAUGGAGGGCGACGGAGCAAAUUUGCACAUUUCGUCAAAAGCGUCAGAUAGUAACCAGAAAAAGCAAACAUAUAAAACUUUUGAGCAUGUUAGCGACAUUUUAUCGCCGUUAGAAUAUCGUUGGGCUUUUAUCCAGGAUGUUUUAAAGUGGAGCAAUCUGGAAUUAUCUGUUUUGAUUUUCAACACCAUCAAUGUUUUGUUUUGGUGUUUUCUUACACCGUAUUUAAAGAAAAUCGUCAUCGUAGCUUUCGUGUUAUCGCUGUUAUUGUUGUUGCCUCCCAUUAGAGAUUCGAUAGCUUCGAUCAAUUGGAUAAAGAAACAAGAAAAUGGUAACUUUGAAAAUACUAUGAACAAUGAUGACCAGAUGUUAGCUAAUGAUGAAGGCCAGAACAAAAGCUGUGAGAAGAAUAUUUUUUCGUAUAAAGAAUUUUGCUUUGGUUUGGCAAAUAUUUUGGACAGAUUUGUUGAAUACUGGAAGAAACUGAAAACAUUAAAAGCAGAAAAUGCCCAAAAGGAAUCACAAACUCUUUUUCCAAGUGGAUGGGGGACAAACAUUUCAUGCAUGUGAAGAAGAUAUAUCAAAUGACAUUAAUUCAUCAUAAUUCUCACUUUUUAAUUUUCUCUUUAGUUUUAUUUAGUAAUAUCUUUCCUUGGUCUUUUCUUUGCUAUUGUUUAUACACAGUUUCCAAUGGGGAAUAUUUUAUAUCUGACAGUCACUUUCUUGUACCUAUGGCCAGCAAUUGUAUUUUAUGGUGUUAAGGAUAAAGUUCUUCAUAAAGCUAGAAAAUUAUUGCAGCCCUUAUUUACUCAAUGGGAAAACAGUAGAACAAAACGCAAAAGAAAUGUACAAUUGGAAGUUAGUGAGCCAGUAUCAGAUGACAGUGACGAUGAUGAAUUUAAUUUAAACACUGCACAUAAACAAACAUUUCUUGUUUCUCCUAUUACACCAGAUGAAAGAAUACCUCAAGAACCACCAAUGACAGAUCCUCUAGACAGCUCUCUUACAUUCGUUGACGGCCUCGAGUUCCCAUCAUUUGCACGUCGUGACAGUGCUGACUCUGUCAAUUCUGAUGAUUUCGUUCAGGGUUUGAAUUUUAACAAUUUCACGCCCGUAUCACAUCAAAGCUCCAUCGAUUCUAUCGAAAAUCAUGUUACGUUAUCAAGUCAAAAUCUGGAUGAGACAUUACCAGGUAAUGAUGCGAUCCAUGUACAAAAUGAAAAAGAUGUUCUCUUAAGGACUCAUGAUGAACCUGAAAAUGAUCAUGGACUACCAUCGAUCAUCGUAAGCUCUGAAGAUGAUUUUGAAAUAAUCAGUACAACUGAAGUUGAUGAAUUUGACGUGAGCGACCUUCAUAACAAUGAACCAUCGACAGCUGAUUCAUUGAAAAAAUACUUUGGUUACUCUUGAAAAAAGCGUUCUUGAAUGAAUUUUUUCCUUCAUUUUGACCAUCUCCUUUACCAACCACAUGUAUUCUUGGGUAAAGCUACGUAUAUUUCAUUGAUGCAAAGAAUACCAUUUUAACUUGACUUAUUGAAUUUACGUUUGGCCCGUUACCACUGUUGCUAACGAUGUGAAGAAAUCUUUCCUAGAUUUAUUGAAUCUAAAUGCAAGUAAUCGUUAUAAUUGUACACCAAUUCUUAUCGUAGUGUUCAUCUAUUAUUUGGCUAAAAACAUUGAAAAGAAAUUAGCAUUUCGUGCCACAGUUCGCACAUAUAUUAGCGCAACAGUGGGACGGAGCUGUAUGUGCCAUAUAUCUUGCACAAAAACAUUUUUUCCAUCCUUUUCACUGAAAUUCGAUUUUGCCUUGUAAGGGAGUGGAAAAAAGAAGGAAAAUCUUUAAAAUUUUAUGUAAAGGAAAUAUAGAACCAUUUUAUGCUAUUAGCCGAGCUUUACAAGAUAGGAGACGAUAGGAAAACGUCACUAAAGUUAUCAGCACGCACGAUCUGAAAAAACCUUUUAUGGAAUAGUUGAACUUUCAAUUAUCUGACAGUAAGAGUUUCGCAAAUAAUAACCAUUGUUAAUAACCACUGAGAAGCACUUUUGAAAUAGCUUGCGCACGAAAAUGACAAAGCUAAAAAGUGAUUGGAACACGUAUAUAUAGAAUUGAAAUAUAAGACAUGUUGUUCUAACUUGCAAACUUCGAUGAAAUUUGGCCAAAUCGUGCACUCCAAAAUCUGUCAUAUUUUAACCCUAUGUCUUCCAUUUUCUUAUUAGCUGCAUAAUUUUCGCGCACAACACAAUUCUCAUUCUAAAAAUUGUUAUUUUUUGCGACAAUUUUACUGUCAGAUAAACCAUUAGAAGUCGCACCGAAAAUUUUGGCAAUGACUUUAGUAAUGUUUUCCAAACUGUUCAGUUUAUUUUUAUGCACCCUGUAGAGAGUAAUAAGAAGAAAGUGUAGUCAAGUUAUGCUUAGCAAAACAACAGCGGUGGUUUGCUGUUUAAUUCAUACGUCCCUACAUUAUGGUAAAAUUUUAUAAAGGAUGCGUGUCUGUGUCCAUGUUUAGUUUUAAAAUUAACAACUAUGUUGAUAAGUUGCACGUAUCGUUUAGUUAUACGCAGGACGUUCUACCUCUCACGUUCACCAUUAAAUGCAUCGCCAAGUAGAGUAGUUAACUGCCAAAAUAAUCAAUCGAUUUUCUUGAUUAUCUAUCGAUUCUCUGAAGCAAUGGAUACCACACGAUGUUUGAUAAAUUAAUUUGAUGCAGUUUGGUUAAAAAGGUCGCACUGACUCACUAAGGAAAAUGUGUCAUUGUAUAGCAAGUUGUUAAUAUAUGUGUAAUCAUAAAUAAGUAUAGUACAUUAAAUAUUUUCACGGGUUUGGUAUGUGUAAAAAUUUGUUUAUAGGGAUGUACUUUUAUAAAGCACGAUGAUGUAUUUCAAACAUUUCAACUUGUAAUUAAUUCUGGAAAUAUGUGCAUUAAUAUAUUCCAAGGUAUUCAUGUCGAAA
Molecule: RNA transcript, 2977 nt
Organism: Xenia sp. Carnegie-2017
Lineage: Eukaryota; Metazoa; Cnidaria; Anthozoa; Malacalcyonacea; Xeniidae
Exons: 8
Source: RefSeq, a predicted model, not a curated record